AUCUCAAAUCAGGUAGGACUACCCGCUGAACUUAAGCAU
Molecule: ribosomal RNA, 39 nt
Filed under: Rhizoctonia solani
Lineage: Eukaryota; Fungi; Basidiomycota; Agaricomycetes; Cantharellales; Ceratobasidiaceae
Description: partial 28S ribosomal RNA
Source: RNAcentral